This 465-nucleotide ribosomal RNA is filed under the name uncultured bacterium. RNAcentral's name for it is "partial 16S ribosomal RNA". It matches the Rfam family "Bacterial small subunit ribosomal RNA", at positions 28 to 507 of the family's 1533-position model. The record is from RNAcentral.
GACGAACGCUGGCGGCGUGCUUAACACAUGCAAGUCGAACGGAAAGGCCCUGCUUGCCGGGUACUCGAGUGGCGAACGGGUGAGUAACACGUGGGUGAUCUGCCCUGCACUUCGGGAUAAGCUUGGGAAACUGGGUCUAAUACCGGAUAGGAGCCAUCUUUAGUGUGGUGGUUGGAAAGUUUUUUCGGUGUAGGAUGAGCUCGCGGCCUAUCAGCUUGUUGGUGGGGUAAUGGCCUACCAAGGCAGCGACGGGUAGCCGGCCUGAGAGGGUGUACGGCCACAUUGGGACUGAGAUACGGCCCAGACUCCUACGGGAGGCAGCAGUGGGGAAUAUUGCACAAUGGGCGCAAGCCUGAUGCAGCGACGCCGCGUGGGGGAUGAAGGCCUUCGGGUUGUAAACUCCUUUCGCUAGGGACGAAGCUUUUUGUGACGGUACCUAGAGAAGAAGCACCGGCUAACUACGUG